Molecule: ribosomal RNA, 699 nt
Filed under: Phaeocystis sp. MC679
Lineage: Eukaryota; Haptophyta; Phaeocystales; Phaeocystaceae
Description: bacterial SSU rRNA
Rfam family: Bacterial small subunit ribosomal RNA
Source: RNAcentral
AAAGCGCCUGUAGGUUGUUUAAUAAGUCUGUUGUUAAAGACUAGGGCUCAACCCUAGAAAAGCAAUGGAAACUACUAGACUAGAGUAUGGCAGGGGUAGAGGGAAUUUCUAGUGUAGCGGUGAAAUGCGUAGAUAUUAGAAAGAACACCGGUGGCGAAAGCGCUCUACUGGACCAUUACUGACACUCAGAGGCGAAAGCUAGGGUAGCAAAAGGGAUUAGAUACCCCUGUAGUCCUAGCCGUAAACGAUGGAUACUAGAUGUUGUAUUUAUUUUACAGUAUCGUAGCUAACGCGUUAAGUAUCCCGCCUGGGGAGUACGCUCGCAAGGGUGAAACUCAAAGGAAUUGACGGGGGCCCGCACAAGCGGUGGAGCAUGUGGUUUAAUUCGAUGCAACGCGAAGAACCUUACCAGGGCUUGACAUACUGCGAAUUUUUUUGAAAGAAGAGAGUGCCUUCGGGAACGCAGAUACAGGUGGUGCAUGGCUGUCGUCAGCUCGUGUCGUGAGAUGUUGGGUUAAGUCCCGCAACGAGCGCAACCCUUGUUUUUAGUUACCAACUUGUUGGGUUUUCUAGAAAGACUGCCGGUGACAAACCGGAGGAAGGUGAGGAUGACGUCAAGUCAGCAUGCCCCUUAUGCCCUGGGCCACACACGUGCUACAAUGGUUAGGACAAAGAGUUGCGAGUUGCAAAAACAAGCUA